GUGUCAGCAGCCGCGGUAAUACGGAGGGUGCAAGCGUUAUCCGGAUUUACUGGGUUUAAAGGGUGCGUAGGUGGGUAGGAAAGUCAGUGGUGAAAUCUUCGGGCUUAACCCGGAAACUGCCAUUGAUACUAUUUAUCUUGAAUACUCUGGAGGUAAGCGGAAUAUGUCAUGUAGCGGUGAAGUGCUUAGAUAUGACAUAGAACACCAAUUGCGAAGGCAGCUUACUACAUAGUUAUUGACACUGAGGCACGAAAGCGUGGGGAUCAAACAGGAUUAGAUACCCUGGUAGUCCACGCCCUAAACGAUGGAUACUCGACAUUAGCGAUACACUGUUAGUGUCUGAGCGAAAGCAUUAAGUAUCCCACCUGGGAAGUACGAUCGCAAGAUUGAA
RNAcentral lists this ribosomal RNA (391 nucleotides) under uncultured bacterium. RNAcentral's name for it is "bacterial SSU rRNA". It matches the Rfam family "Bacterial small subunit ribosomal RNA", at positions 505 to 898 of the family's 1533-position model. The record is from RNAcentral.